UGGGGAAUAUUGGACAAUGGGCGCAAGCCUGAUCCAGCAAUGCCGCGUGAGUGAUGAAGGCCUUAGGGUUGUAAAGCUCUUUCGCCCGCGACGAUGAUGACGGUAGCGGGAGAAGAAGCCCCGGCUAACUCCGUGCCAGCAGCCGCGGUAAUACGGAGGGGGCUAGCGUUGUUCGGAAUUACUGGGCGUAAAGGGCGCGCAGGCGGCUGCUCAAGUCAGGCGUGAAAGGCCUGGGCUCAACCCGGGAAUUGCGCUUGAGACUGGGCUGGCUUGAGUGCGGGAGAGGAUGGUGGAAUUCCCAGUGUAGAGGUGAAAUUCGUAGAUAUUGGGAAGAACACCGGUGGCGAAGGCGGCCACCUGGACCGCAACUGACGCUGAGGCGCGAAAGCGUGGGGAGCAAACAGGAUUAGAUACCCUGGUAGUCCACGCCGUAAACGAUGAGUGCUAGACGUUGGGAAGCCUAGCUUUCCGGUGUCGCAGCUAACGCAA
This 489-nucleotide ribosomal RNA is filed under the name uncultured Pseudomonadota bacterium. RNAcentral's name for it is "bacterial SSU rRNA". It matches the Rfam family "Bacterial small subunit ribosomal RNA", at positions 355 to 860 of the family's 1533-position model. Lineage: Bacteria; Pseudomonadati; Pseudomonadota. The record is from RNAcentral.